Molecule: ribosomal RNA, 500 nt
Filed under: uncultured bacterium
Lineage: Bacteria
Description: partial 16S ribosomal RNA
Rfam family: Bacterial small subunit ribosomal RNA
Source: RNAcentral
AUUGAACGCUGGCGGAAUGCUUUACACAUGCAAGUCGAACGGCAGCACGGACUUCGGUCUGGUGGCGAGUGGCGAACGGGUGAGUAAUGUAUCGGAACGUGCCCAGUCGUGGGGGAUAACGUAGUGAAAAUUACGCUAAUACCGCAUACGAUCUAUGGAUGAAAGCGGGGGAUCGCAAGACCUCGCGCGAUUGGAGCGGCCGAUAUCAGAUUAGGUAGUUGGUGGGGUAAAGGCCCACCAAGCCAACGAUCUGUAGCUGGUCUGAGAGGACGACCAGCCACACUGGAACUGAGACACGGUACAGACUCCUACGGGAGGCAGGAGUGGGGAAUUUUGGACAAUGGGCGAAAGCCUGAUCCAGCCAUUCCGCGUGCAGGAUGAAGGCCCUCGGGUUGUAAACUGCUUUUGUACAGAACGAAAAGGUUUCUACUAAUACUAGGAGCUCAUGACGGUGCCGUAAGAAUAAGCACCGGCUAACUACGUGCCAGCCGCCGCUGUAA